UGGGGCAGACCCUGGGCUAGCAGGCCUCAGGGAGAACUCCAAUGGCGUCUGUGUCAGCACGCCCACACCCGGCCACAACAAUGGCCGCCACCAAUGUCCCAGUCCCUGGAGAGGUCUCACCUCUCACUGAGAUCCACUCAGGGCCUAUUAGUGCGUCCAGUCUCAGCAGUUUGUGACAUCACUGCCUGGUGAGUAGACAAGCCAACUGAGAGGACCGCAGCAAAGCCACACAGUCAAAAGGCUCUGGAAUUUGCAGACCCUAAAUAUGACGAGAUCAGGGAGGAUGGCCAUGGAGCAGUGAGAAUGAUGAGCAGGCACCACCCCCAUAACCACAUCAGGAAAAUCCACCUGCAGGACCAGAAGAGCCACAGGGCACAUUCAAGCCUGCUGUGCCUCCACUUGCUCUAUCAGUUUUACAAACUGUGUUUUGCCUCUUCUCCAGCAUCAAGCAAAUGAAACUGAACUCUAGAACAUGUAAUUUCCAUAAUCCACAAUUCAUGCCUUCACAAAAAUUCAUAUUUUAAAUUUGAAAAUUGAUGAUCACGCUUCUUGGUUAAAAUGUCACGCAAUUUGGAUAUACAGGAACAGAUUUUUGUUCUGAAUUUACAAGAAAAAAAUGAAAAAAUUGUCUUUACAACAUAUUCAAUUUUAAA
Molecule: long non-coding RNA, 653 nt
Organism: Diceros bicornis minor
Lineage: Eukaryota; Metazoa; Chordata; Mammalia; Perissodactyla; Rhinocerotidae
Exons: 3
Source: RefSeq, a predicted model, not a curated record